This is a long non-coding RNA of Dipodomys spectabilis (banner-tailed kangaroo rat), 1028 nucleotides long. RefSeq lists it as uncharacterized. The transcript is spliced from 5 exons. The record is from RefSeq and is a predicted model, not a curated record. Lineage: Eukaryota; Metazoa; Chordata; Mammalia; Rodentia; Heteromyidae.
ACCACGGGCUGCGCGCUGGGGAUCGCGGGCCCUGCAGCACCUGCCCGGGCAGCUGAGUUCGGGCGCGGUUCGGGGUCUUGGCGGGGAGGCGGAGCUGGGGCUGGCGAGUGGACACGUCCGCCUUGCUCUGCGUCGCUCUUCCCUGGGUUGGGCUUUUGCGUUACAUUGCAACGCAGCGCCCUUUGCCGUGCCUUUCCCUAGCGGCGCUGGGUGACGGCGUCCGCAAGCCCGGCGUCCGGGAGCGCAGCCGCAGCCGCAGCCCGCAGCCCGCAGGCAGGCCGACCGAGGGGAUGACUUCCUCCCAGGCAGCUCCGUGCGCUCGCGAGUGCGGGCCGGGCGCGCUCUCCCGGGGAGGCGUAGCGCGCCGCAGGAGAGCGCCGAGCCCCCAAGCACGGUCCUCGGAGGUCCGGAGUUGAGCCGCAAGCUUUCGGGGAAUGGUUUCCGUGAAAGCAAUUCGUUUGACCAAAGUCAGCACCCCCUCCUUUUUGUGGAAGUCUUUGGAGAACAUACAGAACAGAUAAAGAGCAAAAAGAGCUUUAAAGUUGAUGCUGACCUGGAAGUGACAGUGCUCCUGCCUCUGCCUCCUGGAAAGGCAGCAGCACCACACCUGCUAUCCUGCUGCCAUCAAACUGCCACCUAUGCCUGGCGUAUUGUCAGGGCUUUCCAGAUGGUUAAGACCACCACCCUCCAAGAGAUUGCAUUUCUUUCAGGACUGCUGACCAACCUUUGCACCACUUGACGAGUGCUUGGACUAUGCAGUCUCAUCUACAGUGACUGACAAACCACAUUGUGCACAGAGGACACAUAAUGGACAAUUAGCCACCCUUCUAUAAGUUAAGGUUCAUGACAUUCAGAGCACCACAGUGCUCCUCUAUCAGAUCAGCUAUGAACUGGAAUACGAAACCUCCGUCAUACUCGAAAAGUCAGUCAUCUUUGUUGCAUAAGUGGCUAAGGAACCAACUCAGUCCAGUGACUCAGAGUUCUUUCAGCUCUCCUGGAAGUUCACAGGAGCCAUGCAUGUAUUCCAG